RNAcentral lists this ribosomal RNA (750 nucleotides) under uncultured bacterium. RNAcentral's name for it is "bacterial SSU rRNA". It matches the Rfam family "Bacterial small subunit ribosomal RNA", at positions 39 to 752 of the family's 1533-position model. The record is from RNAcentral.
GUAGGGAGCCUAUACUGCAGUCGAGCGAGCUUGCCUAGAUGAUUUUAGUGCUUGCACUAAAUGAAACUAGAUACAAGCGAGCGUCGGACGGGUGAGUAACACGUGGGUAACCUGCCCAAGAGACUGGGAUAACACCUGGAAACAGAUGCUAAUACCGGAUAACAACACUAGACGCAUGUCUAGAGUUUGAAAGAUGGUUCUGCUAUCACUCUUGGAUGGACCUGCGGUGCAUUAGCUAGUUGGUAAGGUAACGGCUUACCAAGGCAAUGAUGCAUAGCCGAGUUGAGAGACUGAUCGGCCACAUUGGGACUGAGACACGGCCCAAACUCCUACGGGAGGCAGCAGUAGGGAAUCUUCCACAAUGGACGAAAGUCUGAUGGAGCAACGCCGCGUGAGUGAAGAAGGGUUUCGGCUCGUAAAGCUCUGUUGGUAGUGAAGAAAGAUAGAGGUAGUAACUGGCCUUUAUUUGACGGUAAUUACUUAGAAAGUCACGGCUAACUACGUGCCAGCAGCCGCGGUAAUACGUAGGUGGCAAGCGUUGUCCGGAUUUAUUGGGCGUAAAGCGAGUGCAGGCGGUUCAAUAAGUCUGAUGUGAAAGCCUUCGGCUCAACCGGAGAAUUGCAUCAGAAACUGUUGAACUUGAGUGCAGAAGAGGAGAGUGGAACUCCAUGUGUAGCGGUGGAAUGCGUAGAUAUAUGGAAGAACACCAGUGGCGAAGGCGGCUCUCUAGUCUGCAACUGACGCUGAGGC